This 1007-nucleotide ribosomal RNA is filed under the name freshwater metagenome. Its description in RNAcentral is "bacterial LSU rRNA". It matches the Rfam family "Bacterial large subunit ribosomal RNA", at positions 1923 to 2925 of the family's 2925-position model. The record is from RNAcentral.
GUAAACGGCGGCCGUAACUAUAACGGUCCUAAGGUAGCGAAAUUCCUUGUCGGGUAAGUUCCGACCUGCACGAAUGGCGUAACGAUGGCCACACUGUCUCCUCCUGAGACUCAGCGAAGUUGAAAUGUUUGUGAUGAUGCAAUCUCCCCGCGGAAAGACGGAAAGACCCCAUGAACCUUUACUGUAGCUUUACAUUGGACUUUGAACAGAUCUGUGUAGGAUAGGUGGGAGGCUUUGAAGCCGGGACGCUAGUCUCGGUGGAGCCAACGUUGAAAUACCACCCUGGUGUGUUUGAGGUUCUAACCUUGGUCCGUUAUCCGGAUCGGGGACAGUGCAUGGUAGGCAGUUUGACUGGGGCGGUCUCCUCCCAAAGUGUAACGGAGGAGUUCGAAGGUACGCUAGGUACGGUCGGACAUCGUGCUAAUAGUGCAAUGGCAUAAGCGUGCUUAACUGCGAGACCGACAAGUCGAGCAGGUACGAAAGUAGGACAUAGUGAUCCGGUGGUUCUGUAUGGAAGGGCCAUCGCUCAACGGAUAAAAGGUACUCUGGGGAUAACAGGCUGAUACCGCCCAAGAGUUCAUAUCGACGGCGGUGUUUGGCACCUCGAUGUCGGCUCAUCUCAUCCUGGGGCUGUAGCCGGUCCCAAGGGUAUGGCUGUUCGCCAUUUAAAGAGGUACGUGAGCUGGGUUUAAAACGUCGUGAGACAGUUUGGUCCCUAUCUUCCGUGGGCGCUGCAGAUUUGAGGAAGCCUGCUCCUAGUACGAGAGGACCGGAGUGGACACACCUCUGGUGUAUCGGUUGUCACGCCAGUGGCAUCGCCGAGUAGCUAAGUGUGGAAGAGAUAACCGCUGAAAGCAUCUAAGCGGGAAACUCGUCUCAAGAUGAGUCUUGCCGGGGCCUUGAGCCCCCUGAAGAGUCGUUCUAGACCAGGACGUUGAUAGGCUGGGUGUGGAAGCGCAGUAAUGCGUUAAGCUAACCAGUACUAAUUGCUCGUGAGGCUUGACCCU